Molecule: long non-coding RNA, 247 nt
Organism: Callorhinchus milii (elephant shark)
Lineage: Eukaryota; Metazoa; Chordata; Chondrichthyes; Chimaeriformes; Callorhinchidae
Exons: 2
Source: RefSeq, a predicted model, not a curated record
CACACACACACACUCUCUCUCUCUAUCUCACACACACACACAGUCGGAGACACAGACUAAUCGACCAGUUUCCUUUUCCGACAGCUACUGGUAAUGCAACUCAGGAUUGUGUGACUCAGGGAUCAGAAUCGAACUCAGAUUCGCUCCUCAACAUGUUCGCUCUGAAAAUUUUGGGGCUAAGAAUGAUUCUAUUCAAGUUCAUAGCGAGCGGCGGUUUGCUGACGGCAAGAAUUUGGAUUUCUAAAGG